RNAcentral lists this ribosomal RNA (500 nucleotides) under uncultured bacterium. RNAcentral's name for it is "bacterial SSU rRNA". It matches the Rfam family "Bacterial small subunit ribosomal RNA", at positions 8 to 507 of the family's 1533-position model. The record is from RNAcentral.
AGAGUUUGAUCAUGGCUCAGGAUUAACGCUGGCGGUAUGCCUAACACAUGCAAGUCGAACGGAAUACUCGAAAAGAGAAUCUCACACUAGUGAGAGGUUCUCCAACCGAGUAUUUAGUGGCGGACGGGUGAGUAACACGUUGGAACCUGCCCCGAAGUGGGGAAUAACUGCUCGAAAGAGUAGCUAAUACCCCAUAGUAUCCGGUUUAUCCGGAUUAAAGAUUUAUCGCUUCGGGAGGGGCCUGCGUCUGAUUAGCUUGUUGGUGGGGUAAAAGCUCACCAAGGCGACGGUCAGUAGCUGGUUCGAGAGGAUGACCAGCCACACUGGGACUGAGAUACGGCCCAGACUCCUACGGGAGGCAGCAGUGAGGAAUCUUCCACAAUGGACGAAAGUCUGAUGGAGCAAUACCGCGUGCAGGACGACGCUUUUCGGAGUGUAAACUGCUUUUGUCGUCGAAGAUUAUGACUGUAGACGAAGAAUAAGGACCGGCUAACUACGUG